UACAGAGGUCCCAAGCGUUGUUCGGAUUCAUUGGGCGUAAAGGGUGCGUAGGCGGCGCGGUAAGUCGGGUGUGAAAUCUCGGAGCUUAACUCCGAAACUGCAAUUCGAUACUGCCGUGCUUGAGGACUGGAGAGGAGACUGGAAUUUACGGUGUAGCGGUGAAAUGCGUAGAUAUCAGGAGGAACACCGGUGGCGAAGGCGGGUCUCUGGGCAGUAACUGACGCUGAGGAGCGAAAGCGUGGGGAGCAAACAGG
This 254-nucleotide ribosomal RNA is filed under the name uncultured bacterium. RNAcentral's name for it is "partial 16S ribosomal RNA". It matches the Rfam family "Bacterial small subunit ribosomal RNA", at positions 524 to 776 of the family's 1533-position model. The record is from RNAcentral.